This 106-nucleotide ribosomal RNA is filed under the name Oscillospiraceae bacterium. RNAcentral's name for it is "partial 23S ribosomal RNA". It matches the Rfam family "Bacterial large subunit ribosomal RNA", at positions 2824 to 2925 of the family's 2925-position model. The record is from RNAcentral. Lineage: Bacteria; Bacillati; Bacillota; Clostridia; Eubacteriales; Oscillospiraceae.
GCUAGUAAGGUCCCCGGAAGACUACCGGGUUGAUAGGCUGCAUGUGUAAGCAUGGUGACAUGUGUGCUAGGCAGUACUAAUAGACCGAGGGCUUGACCUAUUUUUU